Molecule: non-coding RNA, 113 nt
Organism: Tieghemiomyces parasiticus
Lineage: Eukaryota; Fungi; Kickxellomycota; Dimargaritomycetes; Dimargaritales; Dimargaritaceae
Source: the annotation of a GenBank genome assembly
GUCAGCUUGGCCGAGCGGUUAAGGCAUUGGGCUUAAAUGUGCGUGGACAACCCCCACGCACAGGUUAUCCAACGGGGAUCCACCCCUCGCGGGUUCGAAUCCCGCAGCUGACG